RNAcentral lists this microRNA precursor (69 nucleotides) under Marmota monax (woodchuck). Lineage: Eukaryota; Metazoa; Chordata; Mammalia; Rodentia; Sciuridae. The record is from RNAcentral.
AUACACAAAUAAUGAUGAUAAUGAUGAUGGUGAUAAUCAUCAUCAUCAUCAUCAUCAUCAUCACCACCA